Podarcis lilfordi (Lilford's wall lizard) is the source of this 74-nucleotide non-coding RNA. The record is from the annotation of a GenBank genome assembly. NCBI's taxonomy places the organism in Eukaryota, Metazoa, Chordata, Lepidosauria, Squamata, Lacertidae.
CUGUGGCUCAGUCAGCAGAGCAUGAGACUCUCAAUCUCAGGGUCGUGGGUUCAAGCCCCACAUUGGGUGAAAGA